GAUGAACGCUGGCGGCGUGCCUAAUACAUGCAAGUCGAGCGGCAGCAUGUCUCUCACCACCUUUCGGUAGUUGUGACCAUUAAAGUUCACAAAUAACUCGGGGAAGUGGUGAGAGAUGAUGGCGAGCGGCGGACGGCAGAGUAACGCGUAGGAACAUACCCCAAACUGAGGGAUAACUGCUCGAAAGAGUAGCUAAUACCGCAUGUGAUCUUCGGAUUAAAGCUUCGGCGGUUUGGGAAUGGCCUGCGUCCGAUUAGCUUGUUGGUGAGGGUUAAAAAGCUCACCAAGGC
RNAcentral lists this ribosomal RNA (290 nucleotides) under uncultured bacterium. Its description in RNAcentral is "partial 16S ribosomal RNA". It matches the Rfam family "Bacterial small subunit ribosomal RNA", at positions 28 to 274 of the family's 1533-position model. The record is from RNAcentral.